Parus major (Great Tit) is the source of this 2468-nucleotide long non-coding RNA. RefSeq lists it as uncharacterized. The transcript is spliced from 3 exons. The record is from RefSeq and is a predicted model, not a curated record. Lineage: Eukaryota; Metazoa; Chordata; Aves; Passeriformes; Paridae.
AUUUUGCUUAUCCCAGACAGCCCUCAAACCUGGGAAAGCUGCUGACAGUGGCAAAAGCUCAUCUCCUGCCCACACCUGUGCUGUAGUGGUGCUACCCUAAGGCUCCUUUGUGGACUGGAGACAAACCCUAACACUGCCCUUCUUCAAAGGAGGAAGAAAUGGACUGCCUAUGGAUUCUAACACUGACUAGGCAUUUAAAAUCCUUCAUCUCUUUUUAAGUGAUGUUGGCAACCUAAUUUUGACUCCAUAUUUCCAUGAUGCUGAAGGAAAAAGAGAAAAAGAAUAAUUACAAAAAAGAAAAUAAGCAGAAAUUGUUUCAGUGAGGUGUUUUGAUCACCCCCAUGAGCUGUUUUCUUGCUGUGUUGUGCGUGACUGAAAAUCAGAAAGUGAAUCUGCUUAUUUCCAAAUGGAAGCUGACCAGACUCGUUUCAUCAGACUGCAGCAAAAAUAGCAAACAAGGGAAAAAUAAACGUAGGUGAUUAGAAUUAUUUCCAUUCUGACAAAGAGAAUUCAUGAAUGACACAGGAAAAGCUUCCUGAAAAAGAAAUUAAAAACCCAAAUUAAAGUUCUUUGAAUGGGGGGAGUUGAACAGGUUCCCACCUGUGGUGUCACAGACUAUCAGUGACAAAUGACCUUUGGAUCUGCUCCCUGGACCGUCCCUGGAGCUCCAUCUCUCCCCUGGACCAUAACCUGGGCUCUCUAUAUGCUGCUGCUUGCUUCUGGACUAAAUUUCAACCCUGAACAAGGAGCUGAAUAAACAAAUUACUGCCUGUGCAUGUGUGUUUAUUAGGAAAAAAAAAAAAAACCCACACUGAUUACUUGGCAGCCUGAUGUUUCAUAAUAUCACAAAGGGUUUUGAGAGAUGAACAGCUAAAGCAAACCCUCCGUGAAAAUCAAUAUCUCCACCUGUGGGAAAUGGAAAGAUAACAGGCAAUUGUGACUAAAAAUGCAAUUACUACAAGAGAAAAAGAUUCACUUUCCUUCAUAUACAUAAAAAUCAUGAAAAGAUGUUUUCAUCCUAAGCAAAGAAGGCCUGAAGCUGGUUUUUAGUCUGCAUUUAGAACCAAUAAUAAUCUUUCACCUAUUAUAUGUAUUCCUGAAAAAAAUUUAUUAUUCUUCAUCUCACCUAGAAGGUUCUCCACUUCAAGUCAAUUAUUUAAGCAGAUGCAAAGAAAUAAGAUAAAGUAAAUAUUUGACUUUGAGCCUUUAUAAAUCCUGUUUUCUUUCAGCCAUUCAAGAUCAAACUUCUAAUGCAACCUCAGUGUGUACAAGACAGUCUUCCUAGUUUUUUAAAGAGGUAUUCUAUGUUUUAACCACUGGUAAAAUUUAAAAGAAUAAGUCCAUCCACCACAAAGAAGGAAGACCCAUUCUGCACAUUGUGGGAUGGUUGGAGCUGGAAAAACUCUACAUAAAACUUAGCAAAAGUCCUUCUCUCUCACACUGCAUUUGUGAUUUCAUGUCUUGACCUGGCUGCUGAUUGCUCUUACUUUGAUUAGAGAAGUUCAGCCUCCUCUCAGAGGGUCAGUUUUCUGAUUUUCCCAAUCAAUGAGCGAAAUAUUCACUUGCAGGACCCCCACACCUGGGGUAAGGAGAGCUUUAGGAGUGAUGUGCAAUGAUUGCUGCCCUGCUGGGUUCCUCUGCUGCAGGGUGAGGGGCUGCCCCUCCAAAAGAAGCCACAGAGGAUAAAUUUGCUUGUGAUCCACAAGCAGCUGAAGAGCCACGGUGUGGUCACUUGAGCCACCUGCUCACUCUUGUGUAUUGCCCUUUCCACUUCAGCCUCUCACUGGUAGCUCCAAACCUUUGGACUGCGUUUCAGAUCAUUGGCAGCAAAUCUAAAUUCACCUCUGCUUCACCCAAUCUCCAUUCACACCCAGCCUUUGGAACUGCAGAGUUAUCCUUGGGAAAGAAGCCCAGACCUGCUGCAGAGACGACCUAAAGAAGCACAGAGGAGUCAAAUUUCAGGAUUAUUUACUAAUUUUGUGACUAUGUAAAGCAUGAACACAAAUCCUGAAAUUUUGCAGUCAGAUCUCUGCAGGUAGAUCCACUGCACUGUACACAUUCCCAGUGGAUUAGAGGGAAACUGCAUGGGAAUGAGGAGCCAUCUCCAUGACCUUAGGUCUCACGUGGAAGCCUGGAGGCUCUCUUGCAUUAUCAGUUCCUCCAAAUUCAGCAUUCUGGCCUUCUGUCUGCACACCAAUCUACAGUGUUGACCUCCUGUGACUGCUCCAUGAGUGGGGUCAGCUAAGGAACAUCUCCUUAAGGUCAAGUGGGUAGAGGACAUGAUUUGGCAGGAGGGACAAGGACUCAGUGCUGCACAGACAUUGUCACAGAGAGCAUUGCUCCCACACAAGAGAGACAGAGAGUGCUUCAGCAUUCCUGAAAAGCCUCUUUGUUAAGAAGAAAAUGGCUUAAGAAUGGAGACUGUUGCUCGAAUCUGUCACUGAAACAAAUACAGAGAAUGAAACUAU